GGCGCCGUGGCUGAGUGGUUAUAGCGAUAGACUAGAAAUCUAUUUCCUUCGGGAGCACAGGUUCGAGUCCUGUCGGCGUCG
RNAcentral lists this transfer RNA (81 nucleotides) under Venturia effusa. RNAcentral describes it as "Fusicladium effusum tRNA". It matches the Rfam family "tRNA". From Rfam's summary of the family: Transfer RNA (tRNA) molecules are approximately 80 nucleotides in length. The record is from Rfam by way of RNAcentral. Lineage: Eukaryota; Fungi; Ascomycota; Dothideomycetes; Venturiales; Venturiaceae.